Notechis scutatus (mainland tiger snake) is the source of this 110-nucleotide non-coding RNA. Lineage: Eukaryota; Metazoa; Chordata; Lepidosauria; Squamata; Elapidae. The record is from RefSeq and is a predicted model, not a curated record.
UUCUGUGGAAAUAUGGAUAAAUUACUGUGUUUCCCUGAAAAUAUGACCUAUCCCAAAAAUAAGCCCUGGUUUGAUUUUUACACUUGUGCUCAAUAUAAGCCCUACCCCCC